This is a non-coding RNA of Camellia sinensis, 1055 nucleotides long. Lineage: Eukaryota; Viridiplantae; Streptophyta; Magnoliopsida; Ericales; Theaceae. The record is from RefSeq and is a predicted model, not a curated record.
GGGUCUCCCUGUGUGAUAUCUAUAACCUGUCUAUAAAAGCAAGAAACCUGAGUCUAACGAUAGCGAAUGUAACAAGCUUUAAAAUGUCAAAUUCACCCUCUGUGGAUAUUGUUUGGCAAGCUACGAAUGACACCGGUUGACCUGUUUGCGGUGCUUCUGCAGCCCCCCAUUCUCUUUGCCGUUGUUGUCUUCAUCAAAUCGUGCCACCUGUGCCACUCCAGAUGAGGCUGUGGCUGUUCACCCCAGCUUCUUGCUCAAGUCAUGUGCUAUUAAGAGGUUUAAAGAGUUCAAUUUCAUUGCUGCUUUAUCAAAGAAAUACAAGAGAAGAGAAAGUGUUUGAUGAGGCAAUUAUUGACAUUCUGUUUCCUAUGGAUGAAAUUGGUACCGUAAAUCCAAAAGUGCUACGGGAGCUCUUCUCAGUGCACUGCGAUUGGCAGUAGGCAAAGUUCCAGAAGAUUAGUAAGAAACAGGGAAUGCUCUUGCUGGGCAUAUAAAACUUGUGCAUAAUUUGAGGAUAUGCUAAAGAGACUAAUACUUCAUUGCCUCCAAGGUUUGACAUAAAUAUAAAUUUUGUUAGUGUCUUGUGUUUGAUUUUGUUAUUUGACUGUGUAUAUUUGUUUGCGAUUUUUCUUUGGAUUUGUUAAGCAGGGCUCAAACUCGGGCAUAAACUAAUGCAUAGGAGCUAUUUGACUAAAAUUCCGAAAAUGCUUGUACUCUUCUAUUACAAUACAUCUUCUAUGGCAGUGUUAUUUUUUGUAGUCAAGUAUUGCUUUUGAGGUGUCAUUAACUGUGGCUUCCAUGUGUUUGCAGAUGGGUCUAUUGACGAACAACUGAAUGGUGAGUCAACCCAAAAUCUUUUGCCUGCCCAAAGGGUUCUGAGAGUAAGAUAGGAAUGGAAAGACAUUAUGUGAUCCACAUAGCAUUUCUACAUCAAUAAAAUGUAUAAAAAUAAGUGGAUUCAAACUGAAUAAAUAAUGCUGUAAAUUUUGAAAUGAUUUAAUUGAAAUAUAUAUUGUAUACAUAGUAGGAAUAAAAUGGUCAACAUAUAAAGCUGU